RNAcentral lists this ribosomal RNA (253 nucleotides) under uncultured bacterium. RNAcentral's name for it is "partial 16S ribosomal RNA". It matches the Rfam family "Bacterial small subunit ribosomal RNA", at positions 524 to 776 of the family's 1533-position model. The record is from RNAcentral.
UACGUAGGGUCCGAGCGUUGUCCGGAAUUACUGGGCGUAAAGAGCUCGUAGGUGGUUUGUCGCGUUGUUCGUGAAAACUCACAGCUCAACUGUGGGCGUGCGGGCGAUACGGGCAGACUUGAGUACUGCAGGGGAGACUGGAAUUCCUGGUGUAGCGGUGGAAUGCGCAGAUAUCAGGAGGAGCACCGGUGGCGAAGGCGGGUCUCUGGGCAGUAACUGACGCUGAGGAGCGAAAGCGUGGGGAGCGAACAGG